GUGUUUGUUUGUUGUUGUCUUAUUGUCUCCGUGUUUAGUGUAACGGUGACCCCGUGUUUUGUAUUUUAUUAUAGUCUUUGAGUUCAUUGUUUACCAUUUCUAGUCUUUUGGUUUCUAUUCCUGCGCUCCGUGCUCCAUGUUCCUUUUGUCUCCUCUGUCAGCCCUUUCCCCUGUCAAGCCUGCGUCUCUGUUGUUUCCUGUUUUACUUUGACAGUCUGUGUCUUAUGUCAAUGUAUUCUGUUUUGCUUCCUCUCUGUCUCGUCAUGUCUAAUUAGGUUCUGCUAUGUCUCCCUCCUGUUGUGCAUUUCCCUCGUUGCCUUGUGUAUGUAUAUGUAGCACGUUUCCCUCUGUCCUGCGUCGGAUCAUUUGUGUUACUUCUGUUCAUCAUCCCCUGUGUGUCUCCCCCUGCAUUUCCAGGUUUCAGGUUUUUUGCAGUUCUGUUUCCAGUUUCAUGUCUAGCCAUUUCCAGUUUAGGGUUUUCUUUGUAUUCCUUGGUUCCCCAUUUGCCUUGUGUUUUGUAGUGUUUUUGCAAUCAACAAUAAAGGCUCACCUUUUGUUAAACAGUCACCUCUGCCGUGUGUAUCUGCAUUUAGGUCCGCGCUCCCUCCUCUCCACACGGCAGACCGUGACAGUUUAGUAUUUUUCUUGUAGGUUUCUUUUCUCUGAAACAGACCUGUUCAGGGAGCACCUUGCCCCUUACCCUCUGCUCAUUAGCUGGAAAUUCUGUGGGUAGGUCUACUAGUGUCACCAGCCACAAAUGGAUACAAGUGCCAUGUUAUAGAGCAUCUGACUGUAGAUAUCAAUUUCUAGUAAGGACUUCACUUCUAUCUGGUGUCAAGCUAAUGACAGCACAAGCCACUGGGACAGGAGUCAUUCAUCAAAGGUGUUUAAAAGCAAACGCAGAGCGGGAUCCUCUCUUCGCUCAUUAGUUCAAACAAAAUUACUUCUGAGGAGAGCUGCUGGCAGCUAUCAUGCUCGGCUUUUACAGGGUGGCGAAGGCUGGGGGUGCUGAGUGGGAAUGAAUGAAUUGCAUAAAUAAAGACAGUAACCUCCCACUUUGAUGUUGUAAUGUGCCUCAGAAGUGAUGGAUGUUAGGAGUACUCAGGAUUGGGACAGAUACCAGAGAACAAAAUGCUA
This is a long non-coding RNA of Oreochromis niloticus (Nile tilapia), 1137 nucleotides long. RefSeq lists it as uncharacterized. The transcript is spliced from 3 exons. Lineage: Eukaryota; Metazoa; Chordata; Actinopteri; Cichliformes; Cichlidae. The record is from RefSeq and is a predicted model, not a curated record.